This 76-nucleotide transfer RNA is filed under the name Candidatus Sungbacteria bacterium RIFCSPHIGHO2_02_FULL_47_11. Its description in RNAcentral is "tRNA-Thr". It matches the Rfam family "tRNA". Rfam says of the family: Transfer RNA (tRNA) molecules are approximately 80 nucleotides in length. The record is from RNAcentral. Lineage: Bacteria; Candidatus Sungiibacteriota.
GCCCCUGUAGCUCAGUCGGUAGAGCACGUUCUUGGUAAGGACGGGGUCACCGGUUCAAUUCCGGUCGGGGGCUUCA